CCCGAGUAAAUUAGUUAAGAAAAAAAAAACAACUAAGAAAAGGGGAGGUUUAAAAAAUACAAAAACACUAAUUACUUCACCUCUAGGAAAAAGGAAAAUGUUACUUUAUUCUAUGUUUUUUAUUCUAAAGCAUAAUAAUUAUAGAGGAAAUCCAUCCAUCUUUCAUAUUUUUUUAAUCGCAAUCCCUGUACAAAACCAUGAAGUCAAAUAACUCUCCCCAUUCUCCCAAUUUUUGUAUACCAAAUUAAAAACAUUUUAACUUAGAAAAAAAAAAAAGAUAACAACUUUAUGAUCGGAGACAUGAUGAAGUGCGAAACUACAACCCUAAAAAGAUGCGAUUUUUCCACUUGAUUUCGUUUCCUUCUUUCAAUUAAUAGCUAUGUUCUUCUUCAUUGGAGUAAUCUAGGGUUCCAAGUCGAUCAAUUUGGGAAUUUCGCCAAUUACGCUCACAAAUAUGCGAUUUUUUGAAGCGAUUUUGCGAUUCUCCGACUCGAUUCAGAACAGAGAGGGGAAAAGGGAUUACGCACAGCGGAAUCGCUCGGCCCACGAACUCGUGCGCCGCGCCCUGUCGCCUCCGCCGCGUCCCGUGUUCUAUACUUCUAUAGAGAGCACGAAGAGCGCAGCUGCGCAGCAAAAAAUUCGGUGUACGGUGGACCCGGUCUUUUACGACCUAAUUGUGUGGAGAACCCCGAACUAUUGUAUUUUCUAAAGCAUGUCCCCGCUUUUUUUGUUUUUGUUUUAAUUGAAUCGUGUUCCUAGUUAAUUAGAUUGGAGAUUCAGUUAGAUUGAUCAGUUGAUUCUAUCAGAUUUAAUAAUAUUAGUUACUUUUUAAAUGAAUGAAUGAAACUGCAGCAAUUUAUUAUUGGUAAAAACUUGUAAAUUUAACUAACUAAAGCAAUGUUUCGAGCAGUAAAGUGUAGGGGCAUUUUUAAAAGUUUUAGUUUUUAAAAUAAACUUAGCAGUUUCGUUACGCAAACCCAGAACGCGUGGCCUACUGGAUAAGGCCCUGGCCUCCGAAGCGGGAGAUUGUGGGAUCGUGUCCCAUCGCGAUCGUUUUCGUGCUUAAGUACAUGAAUUUUGGUGCAUUAUUAUUUUUUUUAAAAAAAAUGCCUAUACUUUGUCUAUAAAAGAAAAAAAAAAUCUUUAUUUUUUUACUCAUUAUCCCGUGAAUAAGAUAAAUCAUUCACACAUCUUACAAUGGAAUACAUUAUUCUGAUAAAUGAUAAAUUCGCAUCACACUUGUUAACAAAAAAAAAACCCUUAUCGAGUAUAAUCACAAAUUUUAUUUUUUAUGAUGCAUAAUUUUCUACUGAAUAAUUUGUUCUGAUGUAUUUAAGUAGUAAUUAAUAAAGCAAUAACAUGUAUCCUACGAAAGGCCGCUGUGUAAACACAACAAACAUUUUUGGCAUUUUCAAAUCGUGCACGAAUAUGUUAAAGAAUAUUAACAACAACUGUCAUUUUUUAAACAACUUAAGCAGAUAUCAGUUUUUAUAUCCAACGGCUAGCUAGACGGCCUCGGGAGAGGACAGCGCCAUUGUGUAUCAGCGGAGAUGGAAAUAGGCGGAGAGAGCAUGAGAGGGAUAGGUUGAUGGAAGCCGUAGGACAGGAGCCGCCCGCUACGCGGCUAUCGCUGGGGGAUGUCGACCUUGCAAGCUCACGCCGUGGCGGAAAAGCCAUUUGUGGGCACCUUUGGAUCAAUUUGGGGGGGGGGGGGGGGUGAGGGGGGGGGGGGGGGGAAGAAGCUUAGAGAGAGGAGACAGAGAAGAGAUGUUGAGAUGUGGAUGUGGUAUCAACUUUUGGGGGGGGGGGGGGGGGGGAAGGAACUUAGAGGAGGAGAGUAGAGAGAGAGAGUUUGUUGAGAUGUGCUGAGGUGUGGGUUUUAUGUUACGAUGCCAUGCAUGGAAACGUAGUAAACAUUAAAAUUACUUAGAAUAAUAAUCUAAACCUUAUAUUUUAUUUUAUUUUAGAUCUUGUUUACAUAAUCGGUAUCUAGGAUUAAUUACCUGUUCCCGCCAACAACAAAAUACAAAGUAAAAAAAAAAAAGGUGGUGUUGGUGGUCCAUGUGAAAUGGUGCAUGCUAAUGCCUAUUUUGGGGAUUCCAAUAGGAGAGAUGCGUGAAUGUGUGCGUCGGUGGCAUUUGGGUUCCAGUACGGUAAGGAAAUUUAAUUCUCAAUUAUAGGAUGACCAACGGAUACGGUUGAGUGGGAGCAUCGCCGCCGAUCCGCCCAGACUGGAAAAGUAAAUAUAGGAAAAAAUAAAUGGAUUUCGAGCAGGAAACGAUACAAUUUUACGAUCGAGACGGAUUCGGGCAGGACAGACAGAGAAAUUUUGACCCGCGACCGAAUCCGCCCUGAAUCCACCCCGCCCGAAUUUGCCCACGAAAAUUAUUAUAUUUAAAACAAAUAUUUCUAAAAAAAUUAUGUGUUUACAAAAAAAUUUAAAAUACACACAAGUUAGUACUCUCAUUUCUAAUGUAUUUGAAACUUUUGAAUUUUAUUUUGAAUUUUUGAUUGCUUUUUUUUUUAUUUUUAUAAUUGAUAUUGUUAAAUUAUUAUAUAAUAUUAUUAAAAAUUAUUAUUUUAUAUUUUACAAAAUAUUAAUAAUAUUAUAAAUUAUAUAAAAAAAUAUUAGUUGGCUGGCGGAUUCGAGGGCGCCUGGCGGGAGGCGAGUUACAAGGUGGGGCGGAUUAUGGGAUUUAUAUUUUAAUCGUGUCACGGAAUCGGGGAGGAGACGGGAAGAAUUUUGCUAGUCGAGGCGGGAGCGGGGCGAGGAUCCCGCCCUCAGAUCCGCCCCGUUUGGCAUCCCUAAUCUCAUAUAAUCUUUGCACAUCUAUAAUCUACAAACUAUAUGAAGCCAAUUUUUUUGCCACGUGGCAUAUCAUCUUUCAUUCUUCAUAACCGACUUUAAAUCAAACUACCUUUUCUCUUCUCAACGCCCAACCCUUCACCUCCCCACUCCUCUAAUUACAUUACAAUGUUGCAAUAUUUAAUUACAUGCACAUACUAAUAUUCUAUCAAUAAGUUGCUUUAUAACUUUAAUCCACUCUUAUUCUCUAUUAAUCUUCACCCCCUCUUUUUUGUAACUCUUUUGCAUCCACCAUAAAAAACUUUUUGUCAGCGUACAUGUUAACCUUCAUUCUCAUAGCCACAACUUUAAAUCAAACCACCUUCUCCUCUUCUCAACGCCAACCCUUCACCUCCCCACUCUUCUAAUUACAUGUAAGGUGCAAUAUUUAAUUAUUAUGCACAAUAUUAAUAUUUCUAUCAAUGAGUGAACUCUAGCUAUAAUUUUAUUUUUUAACAAUUGAUUUAGUCAUCACAAUUAACUAUGCUUAAUAUGGUAUAGCUCUUCUAUUAUUAAUUAAAUUGUAAAUAUAAAUUUAUUAAAAUUUUUAAAUUUUACUUCUAUUAUCUAUCCGCUGUAUCGCACGGGUCUCUACACUAGUACAUUAUUAUUUCUCAUAAGCUUUACCACGUGUAGCACCAUAAUCUCUCUCUUCUUAAAAUUCUUUUCUGUAACGUUUGCCUCUUCGGCUUCCCGUUCCAUUAAUUUCUUCCAUAACAUAUGCCUCUUUGCUUCCGUUCAUAUUAAUUCCUUCUUUAUAACAUCCCAACCCUCCUCCUUCUGACCACUUAAAUUUUGUAAUGUAUAGUUAUGUAAAGGGUGUGUAUCCUUCCUCUAAUGGUCUCGAAGGACGAGAAGUAUCGGCUAAGAUAUGGGCUUGCCGAAAAGGAUUGAGGCAUUUUGGUAAUUCACGAAAUUGUCGGUGUUAGUAGAGAAUGCCCUUAAAUGAGGAUACAAAGGGUGUCGAUUUUUCUGUAACAAAUUUUUUUCUCCUAUAAUUUUUUCAUCUUUCGUUAUUUUUUAUUAAUUAUAAUUUUAUUUUUAAUUUUUAAAUAUUUUUUAUAUUAUUAAAUUUAUUAAGUAUGAUUAUACGCCCAUCACGCUGAUUCCUACAUAGUAUUAUUUAUACUAUUAUGAAUGGGAGAACCCAGAACUUGCCGUUGUUUGUGCGGAGGGGUUCAGUGGGACCACUUUUUUUUUUUUUUUUUUUUGCCCUUUCCUCACUCUGCUCUCUCUCACUUUUUUUUCCUACUCUUUCUCACUCUCUCUCUCUCACACCCUGCAUCUUUUUUUAUUUUUUCUCUCAAUAUUUUUUUUAUUUUAUCUACAUCAAGUGUAAAAUUUUAUUGCAUAGAUCCAUCCCAUUUUUAAUGUCAAUAUAACAAAAUUAAAAUUUCAUCAAUUAGAUAAUAUUUAUAAUUAAUAAAAAAUUUAUAUAUAAAAAUAAUAGAUUUUACCUUAUAUAAUAAAAUUUUAUAAAUACGGUGUAAAAAAAGUUAUAAACGAGUGCAUUAAGGCAUGCUCAUAUAUUGUGUAAGAUAAAUUUUAACUUUAACCAGAUAAAACUAUCUAAUAUCAGGUUUAGUUUGGUAUUGAGGUCUAAUCUAAUUUAUUAGAUAAAAUAGAGUUUGGAUAAAAGCAUAUAGGAAUAUACUUCUACGUCCUCGGCUGGACUGCAAAAAAUAUUAUAGUAACGGACUAUCGCGAUAUGCAGAACUGAAUAUUCUAUACGGAAACAAAAGUAUUUUUCCAUCGUAUUUUCUUACCGCACAUAACGCAUUUCCCACAAUCCAAACAAAGUCUAAGUACUUGAACUUUAGUUUUUUAGUUAAAAAUUUUACUUAUAUCUUUUUUUUUGUUUUUGCUAUUUUUAAUAGUCGAUUAUAACAAAUUAAAAAUUUCACCUAAUAAAUAUAAGGAAAUCUAUAAAUCAAUAAAAUAUAAAAAUUAUAUGAUUUUUAUCUUUAUUAUAUAUAUAUAUAUAAUAUAAUAUAUAUAUGGUCCGCUACUUAUACUAUGAUGAGUACGAUUGCCCUCGUAUUCAUAAGUUGUUUUCGAUGAUAGAGCUUCCAAAUCGGCGAUCCACACCGUUAAACGUUAUUUACAGCAUCUUAAAACUUCUAGAAAUCAAAUUUAUAAUUUUUCGACAUCAUUUACCUUACGAUCAGAGGUCACAAAUUGACAAUUUUUACGACCGGUAUGGAAUACUUGAGUUUAACGGUAUAAAAGAAUCGGAAUUUGUUGAAUUUUUGAUAGAAAUUCUAUUCACUACAUAGAUAAAGAUCAAUAACUCCGAUCUUUGAAUUGAAGGAUCCCGAUCAUCCUUUUUUUAGGACGUCGUUCGAUUUUGACCGUUCAUUUUAUGCCCACUUGAUGGACUUUGUUAUGGAUUUCGAAAAUUUACGAAAUUUAUUUUCUAGAAGUUUCAAGUACUCUAAUCAUAUUUAACGGAAUGGAUCGUCGAUUCCAGAAGCUCAUCAUGAAAACAACUUAUGAGUACGAGCCUCCAAUACUAUAAUAUAUAGUAGCCAUGGCCUCUCUCUCUCUCUCUCUCUCAUCUCUCUCUCUCUCUCUAUAUAUAUAUAUAAUUUAUAUUUUAUUAUUUAUUUAUUUUUAUCUAUACAACUUAUGAAAGGCGACCCUAACGGAGCCUCCCCGCAUUCGGUGGGGGUCCUACGGACUUUUCGCUCCUUCCGCCUACCCGUUACGUGGCUGCGCCCCCCCCUCCCCCCCCCCCCCCGUGAUCUCCUUUCUUCUCUUUGUCUUUGCCGGGGUGGUCCGCUCUGAUUUUUCGUUCUCUCCGCCAUCGCUGCGGUGGUCGCUGUCCUCCUCAGGAACGUAGCGCCUUUCCGUACGGCACGACGUCCCCCCUUGUCAUUACACUAAUUGGGAACCAAAGAAGGUUCUCCCUUAUUUGUGGGAGGUUGUAGGGCCCACAUAUUUUUUUAAAGGAUUAAUUGCACAUUGGUCCAGAUCUUUUCACUAUUUUUUAUUUUGAUCUCUAUUUUUUUUUUUGCCCCAACUUUUCACUAUUUUUUUUUUGAUCCCUAAUCUUUUUUAAUAGCACUGUUAAAAGAGGUGUUUAAAUUAACAAAAUUGUCAUGUAAGCACUUAGUUGCUUUCUUUUUUUAUUUGUAAAUUCUACCUCGAUGAUAAUAGAAAAAUAUUAUCAUCUCUUUUUAAUACUGUGAUGAGUUUUUAUUUUAUUUUAAAUAAUUUAUUCAUUUUACUUAUUAGGUUUAAUAUUUUUAGAAAGAAAUAUCUUUAAUUUUUAAUUAUUCGAUACUGAGAUAAAUGAUAUUGAAAAAUAUAAUGCAUAAUAAGAAAAAAAAUGUUGUUAUAAUUAUACUAAUUUACUAUUGCAUUGUCUUCCACCGCAUCGCGCGGGGCUCAAAAAUUUAGUGCUUGAUUUAUAAGAAAUUGAUGAUCAUAAUUCUAUUUCAAAUUAAUAUUUAAUCUAAUAAAUAGUUAGUGACUUAAUACUCAACUGACAAUUCAGAUCAUUCCAUGCCUGUUAGCGCGAGUUUUCAUUAUUAAGGCAUAAAUUAAGGAACAACAAACUUCAUCACACUAUAAAAAAAGAAGUAAAGCAUACAACAGUCUUAAUUAUUGCAAUAUUUGUGCAAACAAUACACAUUGUUUGCUUAUUUGAUCAAGCAUCAACUAGUAAGCAAACACACAGUUCAUCUUUAAUAGAUGUUUAAUUUAGUUGUUACCCCGAAUUGCGCUUUGGAGCCAAUCCACAGUAUUCUUAUCCAGCUGAAACGCCUUGGCAAGAACCUAUCCGAAAUCAGGCGGUUCGCCCGAAAAACUGCAUUGGCUUAUAGUGAUCACACCGGGGUUUGGCUGCUGCUCAGACCGGGAUCACAACGCGCUGCUCGCUGCCGGAUUAAAUUGGAAGUGGAUAAGUCCUUGGGGGAAUUACGAACACGUCUCCCGUGUUAAGCACCUUCGCGAAAAGCUUGUUGUCAGGUUAGAGGUGACGAAUCCGACGCAAGAGAGUGCCCUCAAGGACGGUGUAGGAUCUCGGUGUGGCGCGUUCUCGGUGUGGGUGUGGGGAGGGUUUAGACCAUUGUGGGGCGAAGUCAAUGCGAGCUAUUGGAGAUGCGAGGGUGUUGGGCGGGGAGCUCGCCACACUGACUAGAGUCCACGUUGGAGCCAACCUUGUUCAUGGUUUUUCCAGGCUUGUCGAGACCAGGAAAGAGAAAUCUCAGGUGGCGAGGUUUGGGUCCUUGCACACGAACCCAUUUACGAAUAACUGCACGAAAUAGGAAAGCAGUUCAGCAAUGGGAAAUUUGGUUUGGGGAUAAAUGUAGAUGAAAUGAAAUUUUUUUUAUUCUCUUGUUACUGUAGGGAUCAUUCAUAAAAAAACUAAAAAUAUUUCCCCACAUCUGAUGCAUCCAUACAUACAUAGAUACCAUACUUUUAUUCAUAGUCCAAUCCCAUGGGAGGUUGGAAAUUGUUUUUUUUUUUUCUUUUAAGAGAAAGGUAGCAAGCUACUGCGUGUAUUCAAUUUUAUUUAAAAAAAUGAACUGUAGCAAAAAUGUGAAGCUAAAAAUAGACUUAGCUUGAUAGAACUAAUACAUAUUUUACUGAAGCUUGCAGUGUUGGGUAGAAUAAAAAGAAUAGCUUCAAAUUAUGGUGCUGCUAUCCUCGAAAUAAAAGUUAACAAAGUAACAUAGAAUUGUUUAGCAAUUGCCUUGAAGAAAUAAGUAAAAGAGAGAAAAAUGAUCGUGCGUACUUGGGGAGUUCUUAUCCGCAACGCAGAAGUCUUGGAGGGGGCUAGGAUCAGACGCAAUGGCUCGCGAAGAAACGGAGGGCAAGGAGAGUAAGGGCAAGAAUGUAGGGAGCCAUCUCUCUAUCUCUAACCCUAUAUCUCUAUUCCGUAGGAUGCGUGGUGCGUAUAACUGAGAUAGAAGGACGAUGGCUAUAUAUAGGGAUGAAGCAUUGGAACAGUCAUUCUUGCAGGAAAAGAGAACGAGGACUAGUUAAACAUGUUACUAGAACAAGCUAAAAAGCUAGCAUUAUCUCAUGCUGUCUUGGGUGUUUUAGUUCAAGUCAUAUUAUUAAAGGUUUAUACAGUAUAGUGAAAUGGUAAGAAAGAAACACGUUUUAGUCGUGACUCAGACAGAGGAACACUAAUAAGAAAAUAAAACUGAAGGCCCAAUCUCAGUUGUUUACCAUUCUGAACAGAAAGAGAAAAAAUAAUAAUAGCACGAAGCAGCAUUACAAAUUUUUGAAUAAUAAUGUAAUGAAAUGGAGGACGAACGAUGAAGUUGAACUUCGAGUUUUCCAUCUUAAUUUUGUUAGCCUGUAGAUUUUGUGUGCACGUGGUAAUAAGGAAGAAGAUUCAAAGUUUGGACUAGGUGUUUUGAGUUGUUAAAAUUUAUGAAGUCGGAGCAGUUAAGAUUGUUGAAAUUAUACCUGGAGGUCAAUUUUUUGAUAUGACUUGAUAACCGAUAUGAGGACUUGACUGGGUAAUAUUGUUUAGUGGAGUCUAGAGAUCCUAGUAAGAAAAGAUGAGAGAGAGAUUUCCAGGGAAAAAAAAGGAGCUUAAAUUAAUACUUCGGUGGUGCUUAGAGAAAUCUGACGAUCUGCUUUGAUGCAUAAACACCAAUGUUUUCGAACUAGCCGUCGAACCGGAAACCGGUGCGAGAAUUCAAAAUUAAAACCUGCAUCAAACGAUUCGAAUAUAAUCAUUAGCCUGCCAACAAAAAUAGAGCCAUUUUGAUUAAUAUUAUAUUAGAAAAAGAAUUUCAAUUUUGUUUUGAUCUGUAACAUUAUUGAUUCUUUUUAUUAAUAUUAGAAAAGAACUUUGAAUUUUUUGUUUCGGUUCUGAACAUUAUUGUUCUUUACUCUCUUACAAUUGUAGAACCAAAUAGAGCAAUUCUUAUUCACCAUUGUAUUUAAUUAAUAUUUUAAAAUUUUGGAUGCCACGCUAUCGCCGAAUGGUUCAACAGUGAUCAAACCACUAACCUUUUUUUUUUUUGAGAGAGAUAGGUAGCAUCUACCUGUUUCAUUCAUUUAUUUAGAAAUAACUUAGCUAGAAAUGUGAAUCAACUAGGAUUCAAACUUGGAACCUCGGGUACCUACCACAAGCCUCUUGCCACUUCGCUAGGACGGUCGGUAUCAAACACUAUCAUUGAGUAGGAAAUAUUUUUGGGUUUAUUACACUCCCCGUUUCUUAAAACAUCGAAAAAAUCCAGUUUAGCAUAUCUCUUCUGUCUCGCAAGGGGCCAUGAUUUAACAUCCAUGAUUAUGACGAUGAUCUUACGACGGAUAAAAUAAAAAUCCUUGAAGAAGAAGAAGAAAAGAUUCUUCAUACCACACAAGUUCAGAACUUACAGAAUCAAUAUGAUUAAAAAGUUUUGUGGCAUUUAGAGGAGAUGAAAAUAUCAUAGAGAUAUUGAAAGGAGAGAUUACAAAAACACCCUCAAAAUUCACCCAAAUUGCUUUUCAGUUCAUAUAUUAAGCCUGCAAAUAGCUAGGAGUGGUUACUAUUAGGCAAAUAAAUUCAAAAUUUCCAUUCCUAACCAGUGUAAAGGAAAGGAUAUUCUAAAGCACAUAUACGGUACAUCAAAACAAGAGAUUUCCAACACGCGAUAGUUUAUUUAUGGAUGUUGUCUAAUCUCUUUGACUAUUCAGAUUUAGUUUUUUGAAUUCUUAUUUAUGUAGACUUAGUCCUCAUCUUAUCUAGAAUAGGGUGUACAAGUAGCAUUUUUCAAGUAUGAUGAUCUCAUUGCUGUUUCAUUUUCCCUGUUAGCUUUAAUGGUAUGUGUUGUUAUGUUUCGUUAUGUUUCAUUAUGUCAAGCUUCAUGUGCUGAUAAAGGUGACAGAUUGUCGAAUCAAAAUGAACUCAAGAGAUUGAGAAAAAUCAGAGUGAGAAGGAUACAGAUCUGUCAAGUAAUUCAAAGAAUCUUUAUAAUUAAGUUCAAAUUACUAGUAAUCAUAAUUAAUUCUAAAAGGAAAAGAAAGAGGAGUACGGAGUACUCAUUAAACAUGAUAUAAUACUUAAACUCUAAAAAUAACCAAAAGAAGAAUGGGAAGCCGAAACUGAUAUAAAGGUUAAUAGAGCUGAUAUCAUUUCCAUUACGCGCAAAGUAAAGAAUACCAUUUGACACUCAGAUAACAAAUCCGGAACGGUACUGCAUAACUUGUAAUUUGCUAUCAAAAAUUACAACAAGAAUGUACAGAUAUAGUAAAUCAUGAAAAUAUCAAGAUACCACAUUCUUUCUUGAGACAUCUGUUGAUGCAGAUCGGGUGCGGAUAGGAUUGAUUUGUUUAGGUUUUAAUUUUUCUAAUUUCGGAAUUAUUUUACUUGUUAAUUUGUUUUAGUUGUUUUUUGUAAGAUUUUAGGAUUUAUCAUAAGAGAAUAAAUCCUAAAAUUGGAAAUAUGCCGUUUAGAUUUUUUUAGAUAUACUCGAAUUAGGAAAUAUUCCUAAAAUCUUGGGAUUUGAAUUAGAUUAGGAUUACGGUUGGAUGGUUAUAAUAUAGUACUUAUAAUUUGUAAUUUGGGACGAGUUAUGAUGGAUAUAAAAUUUGGGUUUGUGUUUUUACUGCGGUCAUAGUAUCUUUUUCCCUUCUCUUUCCGCAUGGUGCGCCUGGUAAAAUUUUUUUCCUCAGAGGUUCUAUCUUCUUUUUUUCUCUUCUUCAUCUUUUCUCAUUUCCUCUAUUUUUUCUUAUCCUUCUUGUAAAUUUGCUUUCUCUAUAUAUUAGCUACUUUUAAAAAAAUUACAAAAUAAAAAAAAUCAUCAGAACCUUCUUGCUAGAGUCGUACUACUUUUUUGAUUUUUUCUUUUUUUUUAAUUACAAAUUUAAUUUAAAAUUCAUUAAAAUCUUUUAAAAAAAUCUGAAAAUUUAUCUAAAUUUUUUUAGAAAAUUCUAAUUUUGCGUUUUAAUUGAUUUUGGGCUCAUCACUUGCAAGAUAAGUUAGGGGUUUUCUGAAUUUGUCCUGCAUCAUCUGUAUUUUCUCAUAAUAUGAGCAACACUUUUCCAGUCGGAUGUAGAUGACAUGAAUUAGCGACGUGCUUAACGUCACGUUCAUCCGACUUAAACACCGUUUAUAUAAGCAUAGCGAAGACACCACUAGGGAAAUCAAAUGCUAUUACCUGUAUCCAAACUGAAAUGCCAGUAAGAAGGGUUCAGUGCUACAGAAUGAAAGUUCUAGAGAUCUUCAUGCGAGUAAGAUGAAUAAAGUUUCGAGUUCUUUAAGUUACAAUUGAAUAACAAACCUGUGAAGAUUUUUCUGGAAGUUGCCAAGUGUUCCAUUUAUCUGACAGUAACUGACGGUAAAUCUGUCGAACUGACUCAAGACAAUACACAAGAAGCAAUCACAGGAAAUUAUGUGGAGUCUAGAGCAGUUCUUUGCUCCAAAAACUUUGCAGCUCUGCAUUUGCACAGGCAAAUUGGAAGUGGGAACUACUGCUGCUGUGAAAUCUAAAAUGAUCAUUUGGACCACAAAAAGAUAAGCCCCAACAUGAAGGUGCUUCUUCUACUAUAAUGGGAAACUGGUCGGAGAAGAGCAUCAGUGAAAAGGCAUUAGUGCUUUUUUAAACAGCUUAGUGAACAACACUUUGCGAAGGUCCUGCUAGGACAAAUGGGACCACAAGUGAAUCUUCUAAAACAUGCAUGUAAGAAUCUUCUUCCAGUGCCCAUUCGAGGAAUGAAUCCGUGUUCCACCAUUUGCUUUAGUACAGAAUAAGCAUCAUCCAAACUGUUUUCACUACAUAGGCCCUCAAUAAUCAGUUUGUAUGAUGAAAACUUGGGUUUGCUUCCUUUGAGAGUCAUAAAAUUCCAUAAAAGUCUUAGCUUCACAAACUUUUUUUGCAAGAAACCACAAAGAAGUGCUUCAUAAGUUCCUGAAUUAGGGUAACACCCCUUCAGUUCAUUUCCUUUAGCAGAUUCAUCCCUCAUCACCCUUCCCUGCUGCACAAGGCCACUAAUCAAUACAUUAAAUGUUACUGUAUCAAGAUCAAUACUUCAUUUCCAUUCUCUUAUAUACCUCAAAUGCUUCAUCUAAUCUCAAUUUUUACAAAGAGAAUGCAUAAGCUCGAAUAAGUGGAGCAUUGGUUCCAAUCCUAUGCUUUUGGUAGUUCAGGUAAUAAGGCCAAACGCCGGUCUAGCCUAUUAGUUGACAUAAGCCCUUUAUAAGAAUAUUAAAGCAACAGGUAUCAACAGUUAUGCCCAAUUUGGACGCACUCAUGUAUAUCUCAUGAACAAUCUCGUACUGUCGAGUACACACAAGCAUGUUUAAAACAUAAUUGAAAGUCUUAACCGAAGGCCAACAAUGAAAACUGGGCAUAUUGCGGAGUGUCUCGAUGGCUUUUUCGGGAUGGUUCGCAACAUUUCCAUACAUUUUGAUCAGUCUAUAAAAGAAUUCAUCAGAAAGUCGGCAAUUCUCAUUCUUGGCCCUCUUCAACAGAUCCUCCACCUCGUUGAAUCUACGUGCAUAGGCUAGUUUGUCGAUUAUUAAACUAUAGAGAGCUUCACUGGGUUUGUAGUCCAUACGAGUCGUGACCUUCUCGAACGCACCUGUAAGUAAAUCAGGAUGUCUGAUAUUUGUAAAUAUUUUCAGUACCUCAUUCGGCGCUAGCCAAUCCUUGUGAUCUAAUCUCCUCAACCAGUAACUGUCAUCAACUGGACCAUACUUAAUUUUUGAUAAAGAGGAUAUGAAAUGCUUUGAAAUGCCAGAAUUUCUUAGAUCAACACUGUGAAAAUAAUACAUAGCUUGCGGAACCAAUUUAUUCAUAACUGCAAAAGAUCCUAUCAACCCUGCACCAGAAAAAUAUCAUCAUAUAUAAACAAUCGGUGUUUUAUAAUAACCUUUUAGAGGAGCUAAAUCAUGUUAUUCACGGAAGCCCGAGUAAAUUAGUUAAGAAAAAAAAAAACAACUAAGAAAAGGGGAGGUUUAAAAAAUAAAAAAACACUAAUUACUUCACCUCUAGGAAAAAGGAAAAUGUUACUUUAUUCUAUGUUUUAUUCUAAUGCAUAAUAAUUAUAGAGGAAAUCCAUCCAUCUUUUAUAUUUUUUUAAUAUCAAUCCCUGUACAAAACUAUGAAGUCAAAUAACUCUCCCCAUUCUCCCAAUUUUCGUAUACCAAAUUAAAAACAUUUUAACUUGGAAAAAAAAAAAAAAAGAUAACAACUUUAUGAUUGGAGACAUGAUGAAGUGCGAAACUACAACUAAAAAGAUGCGAUUUUUCCACUUGAUUUCGUUUCCUUCUUUCAAUUAACAGCUAUGUUCUUCUUCAUUGGAGUAAUCUAGGGUUCCAGGUCGAUCAACUUGGGAGUUUCGCCAAUUACGCCCACAAAAAUGCGAUUUUUUGAAUCGAUUUUGCGAUUCUCCGACUCGAUUCACAAGAGGGAGGGGAAAAGGGAUUACGCACCGC
RNAcentral lists this long non-coding RNA (13232 nucleotides) under Ananas comosus (pineapple). RNAcentral describes it as "long non-coding RNA (ACOM_LNC021695)". The stretch from base 981 to 1053 matches the Rfam family "tRNA". Lineage: Eukaryota; Viridiplantae; Streptophyta; Magnoliopsida; Poales; Bromeliaceae. The record is from RNAcentral.